AACGCGAAGAACCUUACCAGGACUUGACAUCCUUUGACCACUCUAGAGAUAGAGCUUUCCCCUUCGGGGGACAAAGUGACAGGUGGUGCAUGGUUGUCGUCAGCUCGUGUCGUGAGAUGUUGGGUUAAGUCCCGCAACGAGCGCAACCCUUAAUCUUAGUUGCCAGCAUUCAGUUGGGCACUCUAAGGUGACUGCCGGUGACAAACCGGAGGAAGGUGGGGAUGACGUCAAAUCAUCAUGCCCCUUAUGUCCUGGGCUACACACGUGCUACAAUGGACGGUACAAAGGGUUGCGAAGCCGCGAGGUGGAGCCAAUCCCAAAAAGCCGGUCUCAGUUCGGAUUGGGGUCUGCAACUCGACCCCAUGAAGUCGGAGUCGCUAGUAAUCGCAGAUCAGCAACGCUGCGGUGAAUACGUUCCCGGGCCUUGUACACACCG
Molecule: ribosomal RNA, 436 nt
Filed under: uncultured bacterium
Lineage: Bacteria
Description: bacterial SSU rRNA
Rfam family: Bacterial small subunit ribosomal RNA
Source: RNAcentral